AUUGAUUACUUCAGCACGUGCAGGGCUUCUUUGAUCAUAUCCAGGACUUCUCCCACCACUACUCCCACCAGGACUAGGCCUGUUGCUGUAUCGUCGCUCAUAUACUUCCUCAUUUGGUGGGCUUCGAGGCCCGCUUUGGUAGGUAUCUGUCUUCCUGUUUUCGCUUAAGUUCUCAGCUUCAGCCUGCAGAAUUUAAAUAUUUUAUACGAUGGAAUGUGUUCAACCAGCAGAUCUCGCAAGUUUAGAAGACGGAGAUCUACUAAGUGACGACAUCACGGAAAUUCUUCUCCUACCCACUUUGGUAGGUAUCUGUCUUCCUGUUUUCGCUUAAGUUCUCAGCUUCAGCCUGCAGAAUUUAAAUAUUUUAUACGAUGGAAUGUGUUCAACCAGCAGAUCUCGCAAGUUUAGAAGACGGAGAUCUACUAAGUGACGACAUCACGGAAAUUCUUCUCCUGUAAGGAGCACAAUGAGCUAUUAUAAAAUUCAAAAUUGAGGAUGAGCAGGAUAGGAUAGGCACCAUU
Molecule: long non-coding RNA, 521 nt
Filed under: Nicotiana benthamiana
Lineage: Eukaryota; Viridiplantae; Streptophyta; Magnoliopsida; Solanales; Solanaceae
Description: long non-coding RNA (NBEN_LNC028238)
Source: RNAcentral